Non-coding RNA from Sturnus vulgaris (Common starling), 3518 nucleotides. The record is from RefSeq and is a predicted model, not a curated record. Lineage: Eukaryota; Metazoa; Chordata; Aves; Passeriformes; Sturnidae.
UAAGACAGUGACAUAGCAGAAUAGAGUUUAUUAUGAAAGUAAACCACCACCCCAAAAAACUCACACCUUCUCACCUAGAAGCCUAAUGUGUAGCUAAGAUGCCUUUUUGUCCCCUCUACGAAAUGCUGGUGUCACUGAACCCAUAGUUCUUCUAAAAGAAUGGUAAAUGCCAUUAAAUAUAUCUAGGAUUCCAAGCAAGCAAAGAUUGGGGCAUCGGUGGAUUUACAUAGGAAGUUGUCAGGUACAUUCAUUUUGUGCUUAAUUAGCUUGUCUGACAGUGUGAGUCACACAUUAGACUACUAAACAGUAAAUUUUUGAAACUUAAACCAUUAGUAAUCCUUGAUUAUUUGGUUUAUUACACUCAGUAAGCAUGUAGUUUAUUGCACACAAGAAGUAGAAGCUUAACUCGAGGCUUUCUAUAGCUUUAAUUGUUUUCGAGAUCUGAAACAAAAUGAGUGAUGGGUUACCUUUCAUGGCUCAAUGCAUUUAUUAGAUCUAUGUAGUACAGAGUGAAGUACUUCAAAUAAGCACAUUUAAAUAAUAAUGUGUUGUCACAUUUCUUGAACUGCUCGAGUUGGUGGAUUUUGAUAAUUGCCAUAUAUAGUGUUAAAGCAAUUCUCUAAACCAACUUAGUUCUUAGUUCUUAAAAGUGAUUAAAACCUUGACAUGAUGAUUUUUUUCCUUAAAAGGUCUUUGGACUGAGGUUUAACAGUGGGGUACAUGCAGUUAUUUCUGCAGUGCUUUUCAUAUGAGAUUUCAAGUGUGUAACUUAGACCUUUUGUUGCUUAAAACUGCAUUUCUUGCUGCUGUUCUCCUGCAAUUUAUGAUUUAGUACUUAACAUGCUGCUUCUAGAGAUUGUGUUUAUGAUUGUUGCCUCAUAAUGUAUGUGACUUACUGGCCUGGUAAUAAGAAUCUGCUGAUUUCAAGUUGUAAGGCUGUCCAUUUUUUUUUUUUUUUUUUUUUUUAGGUGUGAUGGAAAGGAGGUUUUCAGUGGUGUCGAGUACAUUGUGCAUUAAGCGCUUCAUGGAAGGACUAUCACAGGUCGAAGAAUACUUAGUACACACAAGUGGAUUUUCCUGAAAGCCAUAGUGGCAUGAACAGUUUCUAGUUAUGGGAAUAUGACAUGUCCUGAAGAAAUACUUCCUCACAACAGGAAGUGAAACAGAGAGGUGCUUGAAUGCUGUUUCUGAAUAGAAGGAAAACGUGUUUUAUAGAAAACAAGUAGAAACAAUAGCUUUUGGCUUUUUCAGUGAUUAAUUGGAACACUUUGUCAGAACUGCCUGACAAAUGUGGAUGAUGUAACACAAAGGAAGUGUAACACCUGAAGAGAUCGUGGCUGGAGUGGGAUGCCAUGCUUUUAAAAGCCUGCUGAAACAGCUGCAAUUUGUUCAGUAGAUACUGUCUUCAGAAAUUGUGUGUAGACCAAAAUUGGUGUCUCUGCAUAUUUAAAACGCUGUCUUUCCAAACACUUAACUGUCUUCUCUAGGAAGUGUAGCAGUAUUAGGGAAAGGAGUGUUGGGCUUCAGUACAUGGAAAAGCCCUUCCAUUAUUUACCCUUUUAAAAUACCAUAUGGGUACAGAUUUGCAUAUACUGGAGAUCUGUGAUAACUCAAGAGUGGAGCUCACAGGCAGGCUUUGUAAAGACAGGGUGAAAAGCAAAGAAAAAGACAAUGUUGACAGCUUGCAUCACUACCUAGUGAGGGUGUGAGGAGUUGGGAUUUUAUGGGCUGCCACUUCAGCAGGAGAAGACUAAUACCACAACAAUGGAACUGCCCUUUGAGGAAUACACUGGCAGAAGUACUUGCUUGCUCUCUGGGGAAGAGAUUGGUAGUGGGAAAAGUGAGUUACAUACAUUGGAACUUGGGCUUUGAACAGUCACUUGAAAAGUACUGGUGCUCUAAUCACAGUAGCAGAAUAUUUGCUGUAUUCAGCAAACUCUGCUUUCCACAGAGGAAUGAAGGAUCAUAAAUUGGUCACCAAGUAAAUUUAAAGACAGCUCAUGGUGUACGUGAGAUGAAAUUGGCCUUAAAGCAUGACCUUCAAGACUUAUUGUCAGGAAUUCGUUAUAAAGGUAGAAACAUGAAAAUAGCAUAAUUAAAAAUUCAUAGACCUACUAUUACUGAAUCACUUUGAAAUGGUCCAAAAUAUAUAAAACAACCCUAUAGCUCAUGAAGUGUACCCGUUCAUCAAUGACAAAAUCCAUGUAAAGUUAAAUUUUCUGUAAAAGUAGUAUGAAGAAUAAACGCUACCAGGAGUAGCACAUAAAGCAUUGGAAAUGUCAAAAAUAAGUAUCCAGCAGGCUACUACAGUGGAUGCUAAGGAUCCAGCUGAACUCCAGGAAUGCAUUGGCUCUCUGAGCAUCUUCUUUUGUCUGCUUAUUAAGCAGUGGCCAGCUACUUUGGCUAAAGGUUGCUCCUUCUGAGCAAGGAACGGUAAAUCAGUCUGUUGAAUAUAAAGAUCUGCAGAAAUAAACUAGAAAAUAGCUUUGUGUUCAUUGCUUUCAAUAAUACUUUUUUCUGUUAAAAAUGUUAUUGAGAGUGGUGCAUAUUUUAAUGUGCCAUGUUUUGUACAUGCUUUUGAAUAAAGAUAAGGAUGUUAAAGUCAUGGCUGCUGCACAUCAGCUGCAGAUCACACCACAGUGUUCCUUCCUUGACUGCUUGUACUUCUCAAGAGCUAUGGAGGCAAUGUGGCCUUGUGCUGACUGGUGCAGUGUGUACUGGGCACACGAUUCUUCGUGCUGUGCUUGAGUGAUUCCAGGACAAAAACUACUGCCUUUGUACUCAAGAAGUGGGAAGGUAAGGUUAGUCUCAAUCUGCCUAGUGCAGAUCUGCAAAAAGCUUGGAUGCUGUUAACAGCCAAGCAGGUCCACUAGAUGCUGUUAAGUCCAGAAGUUGUCAGUCAUAGGUGGGUCCGUCUCUUCUGGAUGUUAAGAAGAUGUCAAAAGAGCAGAGAGAUGGUUUAAUAGAGCAAUAUUUGGUAAGUACUUUAAGUAUUGAAAGGGAUUUAUAUAUUUCAUUACAGGGUCAGAAGAGUGGCAUGUGUUUCGGAGAAUAAAGGUACCAUCUUUAUCUUUUAGGCUGGUGUUAAUACAGAGCAUUAAAACCUUGAAAGAAUGCCGUGUGUAUGUGCAGUAAACUUGGUGAAAGUGAUUUUACUUUGUGAUGUUGGGGGGAUGAAAUAAAAGACUUAAGAUUCAGGGUUGUGAGUGGCACUUCAGGUACCUGAAGUACUUCAUGACUGUUUUUUAUGUUCUAAAUCAUUUACUGGGGAUGAUCUUGGGGGUAGGAUAGGCAGCAAUAGAUAAAGGGUGCUAGUGAAUAAAGUUAAUGCAUAUCAGUGUGGUGGAGGCCUGUCUCAGGAUGUUUAGUCGUGAAAAAGGUUGGCCUCUCAGCAUAUGAAGUAUAUGUGACCAGUUGUAAGGCAUAUUGCAUAUUGAGCUGCAGAACUUUAUCAAGGAAUGAUCCUGUACUUCAGAGCUACUGAAAAUUGGUAGCCAAUAAAAAACGUGUAUUGGUAG